Mytilus californianus (California mussel) is the source of this 4202-nucleotide long non-coding RNA. RefSeq lists it as uncharacterized. The transcript is spliced from 2 exons. The record is from RefSeq and is a predicted model, not a curated record. NCBI's taxonomy places the organism in Eukaryota, Metazoa, Mollusca, Bivalvia, Mytilida, Mytilidae.
GUUUGGGGGGGGGGGGGAUUUUUUGUUUACAUUUUUUUUAAAGGAUUCAUAUUUUUUUUUCAAAAUUUUUCAAAUUUUGAAUUUUUGAAAAGUUUCAAGAAGAAAUCUUCAAUUGCACAGUAUUGCGCAAUAGAUUUGUAAGGUCUUUGACCACAUUUAUUUUGUGUCAGAAACCUAUAUUUUGUCAAAAAUUUGAUCACAAUCCAAAUUCAGACAGUAUCAAGCUUGAAUAUUGUGUCCAAAUUUGCCCCAACUGUUCAGGGUUCGACCUCUGCGGUCGUAUCAGGCUGCGCUCAGAGUAGCAUUUUAUUUUUAGGUAUCAUUGCAAAGAAAUCAUUUAUACAUGGCUGGAUUCUUCACUAGUCCUCUUUUUUAAUUCCAAUUCAAGAUUUUUUUUAUUGCAAAUCAUGAAAUAAAGAAAUCUUGUUAGUUUCAAUAUUGAUUCCUUAGUGUAUUCAAGCAUCUGAUAUACAAUGUCUUAAAAUUUGAUGGCAAAACAUUAGUAUGCUUUUUAGCAUUAUCACAACAAUCAUAAUUUAAACAACUUCUUUUAGCAAUUAGCAUGACAAGUGAAGCAUGAAUAUCAAGACUAAAAAAUUAAUGUAAUUUUACUUAAUCUGUGUGUCUUAUAUGAAUAAUUAAAUGUGGGAAUAUUUUAUUAUUUGUUAGGGAGGAUGUAGUUAUGUUUUAACCUAUGACAUAAGUUACAGUGGAAGAUUUACAGGUAUAGUUUUUCAUCUUCUUUUAGGUCAAAAGUUUAUAAGGUUGUGAUUAGAUUAGUUAAAUAGGAAUCGGUUUAUAUAUAUAAUUAGUAAGUCAAUGAUUGAUGGUAUUUGUACCAUUGCACCUAUUUCAGUAAAACAUGAUUUCCCCAAAGGUACUUUGAAUAUACCAGUUUGAUUAAGGCCUGAAGAGUUUGUAAGAUGUGUUAUUAGAUUAGUUAAAUAGGAAUUGGUUUUGGUAAGUAAAUGAUAGAUUCUAUGUAGUUGUAUAAUCUUCAAUAAUACCUUCGUGUUAAUGGAAACAAUGUCGUUAUUUAGGCAGAGGGAAAUUAAGAAUUUGUAACUGGUGUUGAAAUUAAAGAGAGAAAUAAAGAUAACAAACAAUGAAUAAUUUUUUAAUUUAACUCUUAAUGUUCACUAGGCUUAUCAUACAUUUAUUUACUAUUUAUUUGCACUUUGAUUGUUACCAUGCAAUAUAUAUAUUCGUUUAUAUUACAUUGUCAUUGGACAGGUAUCUCUAUGGAUUAGAAUUUAAUCAUGGAGGAGCUUUCACCAGGACAAAACCCAGCACAUCAUGACCAAAAUUAUUAAAUAUUUCAUUUUGCAAAAUUUCACGAUUUCUGUAUUUUUAUAGAGUAUUGAAGAAAUCAUUUACUAUGAUGUCAAUUACAAUUGCCGUCUUUAUAUCCAUGUCACAAUUCAAAGUAGUAUAAAGUCUCACCUCCGGUUGCUGGAUUUUCUCGCUGCAUUGAAGACCCAUUGGUGGCCUUCGGCUGUAGUCUGCUUUUGGCUGGGUUGUUGUCUCUUUGACAUGUUCCCCAUUUCCAUUCUCAAUUUUGUCAAUUGAAUCCAGGUAUUUCAGUCAUAUUUCCUCUGAAUCAUUGUAUUGAAUAAAUUUAUUUCGAGUUAGAUAUUGAGUUUGAUCAAAUUCAUUUCAUGCUCUAUGUGUAAUCUUGUUACAAUGGUUUUCUGUCACUCUUUGUUAUUUAUUUUUUUGCAUUUUCAAAUUGUUAUUUUGUAAAUAUUAAAAAUUUAAGAGAGAAUGAACAUUCAAUUGGGUCACAAAUUAUUAGUUAUUUACAAUUAUUUUAUGAAUCUUUUAUCUAUUUGUGUAAUGACAGGUAUUUACCAUAGAUAAAAGAAAAUAGUAUUUUGGUUUUAUUUAGAGAUAAAAAUGUGAUAUGUCUGUCUUAAAAAAAAAGCUUAAAAAACAUCAUUUGAAUAUACAUUCUUUAAUUGUUUGAGCAUAAAGCAAGUACAGUUUUCGUGAUAUUUGUCAGGUUCAAGGGUCAUUUUUAUACGACAGCAAAAAAAUUUUGUGGUCAUAUAUUGGUAUGACGUCGGCGUUGUCCGAAAACACAUUGGUUUUCGCACUCUAACUUUAGUUUAAGUGAAUUGAUCUUUAUAAAAUUUUACCAUAAGGUUCAAUACCACAAAAGGAAGGUUGGGAUUGAGUUUGGGGGUUAUGGUACCAACAGUUAAGGAAUAAGGGGCCAAAAAGGGGCCAAAAAUAAGCAUUUUUGUAACUUCCAGACAUAACUUGUGUUAGUUUAUAGAUCUCUCUGACAUUGUACCACAGGGUUCCAUAUCACAAAGGGAAUGCUGGGAUUGAUUUUGGGGGUAAUUGCCUCAAAAUUUUGGGAAUUAGGGGCCAAAAAAGGGGGGGAAAAACAAGCAUUUUUCUAGUUUCAUGACAAUAACUUGUGUGUAAGUGUAUAGAUCUUUCUGAAAUUGUACUACAAGGUUCCAUAUCACAAAGGAAAAGCUUGAAUUGAGUUUGGGGGUAAUUGCCCAAAACGUUUAGGAAUAAGGGGCCAAAAAGGGGCCAAAAAUAAGCAUGUUUCUAGUUUCCAGAAAAUAACUUGUGUUCAAGUGUAUGGAUCUCUCUGAAAUUGUACUGCAAGGUACCAUACUACAAAGGGAAGGCUGAGAUUGAUUUUGGGGGUAAUUGCCUCAAAAUUUUAGGAAUUAGGGGCCAAAAAAGGGGCAAAAAUCAAGCAUUUUUCUAGUUUCAGGACAAUAACUUGUGUGUAAGUGUAUGGAUCUUUAUGAAAUUGUACUACAAGGUUCCAUAUCACAAAGGGAAUGCUGGGAUUGAUUUUGGGAGUAAUUGCCUCAAAAUUUUAGGAAUUAGGGGCCAAAAAAGGGGCAAAAAACAAGCAUUUUUCUAGUUUCAUGACAAUAACUUGUGUGUAAGUGUAUGGAUCUUUCUAAAAUUGUACUACAAGGUACCAUACCACAAAGGGAAGGCUGGGAUUGAUUUUGGGGGUAAUUGCCUCAAAACUUUAGGAAUUAGGGGCCAAAAAGAGGCAAAAAACAAGCAUUUUUCUAGUUUCAGGACAAUAACUUGUGUGUGAGUGUAUGGAUCUUAAUGAAAUUGUACUACAAGGUUCCAUAUCACAAAGGGAAAGCUGGGUUUGAGUUUGGGGGUAAUUGCCCUAAACAAUUAGGAAUUUGGGGCCAAAAAGGGGCAAAAAACAAGCAUUUUUCUAGUUUCCAGACAAUAACUUGUGUUCAAGUGUAUGAUCUCUCUGAAAUUGUACUGCAAGGUACCAUACCAUAAAGGGAAGGCUUAGAUUGGGUUUGGGGCUGAUGAAUCAUAAGGGGGUUCAAAAAGUUUGGGGGGAGGGAUUUUUUUUUCCCUUUUAUUUUCUUUAAAUUUUCCAUUUCAAAUGGGUUAUUUCUGAUUUAUAUGUAAAAGAAAAAUAAUAAUGAUAUGGUUUGAAUAGGUCAAUUAAUAAUUUAUAAGUUCUUAGACCACAUUCAUUCUGUGUCAGAAACCUAUGCUGUGUCAAAUAUUUAAUCACAAUCCAAAUUCAGUGUGUAUCAAGCUUGAAUGUUGUGUACAUUCUUGCCCCAACUGUUCAGGGUUCAACCUCUGCGGUCGUAUCAAGCUGCGCCCAGCGGAGUAUUUUAUUCCAAAUCGUAUGAAAUGGAUAAAGAUACAAAUAAUAUAUUUACCAUCAAUCAAACAAUAUACACUUUUAUUUGAAUAGCUACCACUUUUAUGUUUGAUUUUCUUCCCCUUUUUCAUUCACAAACGUUGGCCAUGGUGUUAUAAUUAGUUACAGUAAAAAUAGGGUAACACCAAAUCUGAUUAUCUCCCUUUAUAUAUCAAAGAAUUUGUAACUUAUUACAGUCAAGGUUUGUCAAACAAAACAAUAUGUUUUGCUUUUUGGUUGAGGUUAUUAUGAAGAAGUUCAACAUUUUUGUUAUAUAUGUAAUAUUUAAUUCAAAGCAAGAUUGGAAGUUUGAAAAUAAAAUGUUUUAUGCUGUUUCACAGGGGAGAUAAUCAAAUAUAACUUUAACCAGUAUUUUAAGGUUAAACUAUGAUUUUAACUUAGCACGCCAAAAUUCAUUUCUAUGCAAUAGGGUAUUUUGUUGAGCACUCAUUUAAUGUAUUUUGUUUAUGUUUUUAUCAACAGAUAUUUGUUGUUGUACACAAACUGUUUGAAAAUAAUUAUUAAACCUGUAACCAUG